CACCCAUGUACCGAUUAUAUGACUUGACUAUUUCUGGCCUGGAUACAAAUUCGUAGAUUUUGAUUUAGAGAUCCACUCCUCAUCUGAAGAGCUGGAAAAUGAGAUACUUGAUCCCUCGUCUUCUUCAGGUCUCGGUGUAUACGCAGUGUCAUCUUUUUCAUCAUUAUCUGAGAGAUCUAUGUCCGAUUCUUUUAGUCAUGAUAUGAUUUCAUCUUCGCUUAAGACUGUAAAAAGAUCUCUUUGAGAACCACGCAUGCACCUGACCGAAGAGACAUCUUUAUCGUGGCGCUCCAGAGAAAAACCCAUUUGCCGUAUGUAUCAAAGUCAAAUCGGUGUUGGGUUUAGUGUUGCCAGUUAACAAAGCU
Molecule: unclassified non-coding RNA, 365 nt
Filed under: Melitaea cinxia (Glanville fritillary)
Lineage: Eukaryota; Metazoa; Arthropoda; Insecta; Lepidoptera; Nymphalidae
Description: misc RNA ENSMCXG00005015240.1
Source: RNAcentral